Equus caballus (horse) is the source of this 7942-nucleotide long non-coding RNA. Lineage: Eukaryota; Metazoa; Chordata; Mammalia; Perissodactyla; Equidae. The record is from Ensembl.
ACUCAGACAAGGCAGCGGGGCUGCAAGGGUUAGAAGCGCCCCCAGGAUGCAGGAGGGGUGUGUGUGGAAUCUAGACCAGGCAUCUGAUGGCUGAGAGAAAACAGCAGUGCAGAGAGGUUAUGUGACUUGCUGGAUCGCAGGUCCCCAGCGAGCGAGGACUGGGAGGUGAGGAGGUGGCGGGGGCCUGGAUGGGGGGCCUGGGCAGCGUGGGCAGGGGUGGCUGGGGCUCCGGGAGAUCACCCUGCAUGAGAGGGAGCCAGGGUGCAAGGCCCCAGAGGGCAGGCGGCCCGUUCCCAGGCCCCCGUGGCCCGGGUGCCUCUCCUGCCGUUCCAGGGCGGGGGAGCAGAAAUUGCCAGCUGGCAUCCUAGGAAUGUGGGCUGCAUUGGAAAGUUAGCUAACGUUUCCCGGUGAGAGGGGCCCGAUUAUAUUGACUCUGCCAGGAACAGAGAGACACAGAAGAAAUCCCUGAGAGCUGCAGGCCUGUGUCAAAGGCAAAGCUAAGUCCGGGACAAGAAGGACACCAGCUUUCGAGUCGUAGACCUGCAGUGAGGGGGCCCUCCACAGGCCCCGCUGUCUCAGCCAGGGCUGGAAGGUGUUCGGGAGGACAGUGGCCUCGUGGAGCAGGAAGAGGAGACGCUGAGACAGAUUGGCAGGCAUGCUAUCGAAAUGGGAGUUUUGGAACCACGGAGACCGUCCGCUUGGCCUUCGGGGACACGUGGCAGUCUUUGAUUGGCUGCAAGGGGGCAAGCGACCCCCUUGAAUUUUACAAGAUCGUGUCGUGUUAGAGAUGGAGAGUUUUUUGAGGCUGGCCAUUUCCUGGAACAGGCAGGAUUCCAGGGGGGGAGCUUUUUAGUGGUCAAACUGUUAACACGGUCCCAGUGAGGGAGCAGAGGGCUGCCAUCAAGGCGGUUUCUCAGCAGAGAUCCAGACCAGGAGGCUUGUGGCCAGGGAUCCAGAAGACCCGAGUUCUAGGCCCAGCUUCCCACUAACUGAAUGGUCCUCUUUCUGGACCUGUUUAUUAUAUGUACAAUGAAGGGGCAGGACCACCCGGGAAUGUCAAAUUGCUGACCCUUGGGCCAAAUCUAACCUGCAGUUGUGUUUUCUUUGGCCCGCAAAUCAUUAUUUUUAAUUUUGAUUUUUAGUUUUGCAUGCCAGUAGGAGGGGUGUGCAUUUGUUCUGCAGUCCACAGCCCUGGUGCUCCAUGCUGUGACAGACCUGCCGAGUUCCAGCCUUUGGGUAACCGCUGUCCCCGUAGGGUCUGGUCUGCAGUCCCCGGAGCAAACGACUCCUCGUGCCUUUGUGGGGCUGGCCUUCCCUGGUUCCACGAUUCUCAGUGGCACCUUCUCACUUUCGCUGCCUCCCACAGUCACCUCGCACGGCCCUCCACAAAUAUUUGAUGCUCCAGCUUCUUGAGUCAAUUAUCCCUUUCGGAAAACUGGAGAGAGAAAUGAUAUAAUUAACUACCUGAGAGAAAAUGAGCAGAGCAGCAAGCUAUAAAUACCAAGACACACGACGGAGACUGAAACCCCGGGGCCCCACUUGACCUUACCCAGUUAAGAGUGGUCUGAGGCCUCCCUGGUUGGAAGAAACCAGUGAGGCCAAGCCCAGCUCAUGCUCAGAGCCGCAGCCUUCACAUAGCAUGGCAAGAAGCGGCUCAGCCAGCCCCCAGGCCCCAGGGCCAGCAGGCCAGGAAGCAACACCCUCUGCCCGUCUCUGCCAAGUGGCCGGGAUCAGAAUCAACAGGCCAGAAGGGCUAAUUCUUCCCUCACACACUGUGCCCAGGACCAGAUGCUCUGCCCCGAGUGUGGGGCCUGGACACAGUUGCGUCGCUGGAUCCUUCCACCCCAUCUUCAACCACGGACCAGAUAAACGGAGUUGAACACACUUCAAAGCCAACACUGAGCACGGCCAUCUGGGAUUCAUUCCUGAGCGGGCCUUUUCCAGUUAUGUAACCAGGGAGAUCCAGACAGAGAGACACAGAUUGGAAGAAGUUUCCUUUUUUUUAAACUCCGAACCUUUACAGUAUUGGGAUAAUUAUGGCUUUCAUAGCGUUGAUUACUUUAAGCUGUCAGUAAUUUGAGUCUUUUUCAGAAUCAGUGACCAGCUUUCUGUAAUUGUGUUCUCUCUCCCCACUUCCAUCCGUAAGUAAAGGAAACACAAUCCCCAGCUCACGGGGUUUCCCUCCCAGCACCUCGCCCGGGCACUUCGCUGCCACGCCCGAAGGCCGCAGUGGACACACCUUCCCGGCGUCCUCCGGGCUCGUGACACACUUGCUUCCCGAGGCACAGUCUUAUUAGGGAACGUCCAUUCCUCCCCGAACUGAAGGAAGGAGCCGGGUGAAGCCUGGGGUGGCCGGGCCUUUUGCUGUGAAUCAUUCAGGAUCACCCAAAACGUUCUGGUUCACGGAUAGAGGGCACUGGCAAAUACGAGAUACUUUAAGAAAUGGUAUUUGCCACACAUUUGCAAUUUUUAAAUGUUUUCUUUUCUGAUUAUGUAACUAAUACCUGUCAGUGUGAAAAUUCUCAGCAGUGUGAAGAAGAAAAUAAUUAUCCCAAAUCCUUGCCUGGGAGAAUUGUUCAAACAAAAAGUGACGCUAACAUUUUAGCACAUUGCCCUCCAGCCUUCACCUUGGGUAUGUUUGCAUUUCUAGAGUUGAAACUAUAUUUUAUAGUUUUAUAAUUUUGUAUCUUGCAUUUCUCCUUAACAAUUUGCCCACAUAAUAAAAAAAUGUUUAACCUUAGUUUUCAAUAGCAACACAGGUUCAAAUGAAGUCAAUGUAUAAUUUUUUUAAAAAAUCAAAUCCUGUAUUAUAGUUCAAAGGCUGUGUCCAACAUUUAAAUCCACACUGAAUUUCUUUGGCUGUAAAUUUCUAUCUGUAUUUCUUAUUGCUUUCAUAGAAGCUAUUCCCAGAAGGGUAAUCAACUCUGCAUCAAAGAGCAUGAAAAUUGUUUAAUGUUCUAAUACACUUCAGAAACAUUGAGUGACCUUUUCACCCAAGUAUGAAUAUUUUUUUAAACCUUACUACUUUGAUGAGUAAAAAAGUAGACUUUCAUAUUUACAUUAAUUUACUCUUCUUUAGCUAUCAAAGUAAUUCUUUUUUCAAAUCCUUAUUAGCAUUUUACAUUUUAUUCCUUCUUGAAGUAGACAUUGUGUGAGCCCGUGGACGGAGGCUGAGGAUGAUUAUGAGAUUCCUGGUACAAAGAUGCUCCCAGCUCAAUGCAGGUGACCCCAUGGCGAGAGCAGUGAGGGUCUGUGGAGGUUAGCUGAGCUACCUCAUCCAGAGGAGGAGCAGGUUGGGGGUGGUACCCGUUCCUGGUGAUGUUAGUUACCUAUUGCUGUGUAACAAAUUGCACAUUUAAAUGGAGACCCAUUAAAACGGAAUACCUUUUAAACCUGAUUGUGCGUGGUGGUGGUAGCAGUAAACUGAAGCAGGCACCGCCACACAGAAGCUGUCUGAGCUUGGCAAUCCCACAUUCUGGCUUCAAGCCAUGCGGUGCGACUGGUGCCAGGAGGGGGUGCAGGGAGAAGGAAAAGGCUGGACAGCUGGUAAAGGCCCGCCACCCCAGGUGGGAUGGGAAUGACAGGACAGAUUUUUAAGUAGGAGCGGGUGAGUGAGACAUGGGGAACUCCAUCCUGGAAGGGGUGCUUGGGGCUAGGAGGGAACAGGAAACAGGUGUCAUGGGUAAGGCCUGUGACCUGACCAGGACUUUUGAAUCUAAAAAUAUAUGUGUCAGGGGGUGUGAUUAUUAAAAUGUAGGAAUAUUACCCAAAAAUGAUGUUGACAUCAACGCUAAUUUUGGAUGCUGGAAAAUUAACCUAAUUAGCUCUUGCCUUUCCCUCCACACACUUUCCCUCGGCGGUUUCCUUGGUCCUGUGCCAUCACCUGCUUCUUUGGCAUGGCUGACUCCUAGAUCUGUAUUUCCAGCCUUGCCAUUUUCCUGCCACAUCUCCAACCUCCUGCUUGACAGCUCAGCCUGGUGGACUUCUCAGCACCUCAAACUUAGUAUGUACAAUACAGAACUUAUUUUCCUCCAAAACCUGCCAUCUUCCUUGCUGUCUCUUCUGGUCAAAGCGCCACCAGGCAUCCAGCCUGGGGCCCGAGGAGGGGAAGCCCAUGUGUCACAGAGAUAUGGCGUGCUCUGUGGGGAGGAACUUCAUGUGUGAGCAGAAGCAGGCAGCUGGCGACAAGCUGAAGAAAGGCGUUCAUCCCACACACAUGUGGGAAGCACCUCGGGUGCUCCAGGAGCUGCGUUUCUGGGCAUGGGGGCUCACUGGUGAAUAAGCCAGACGAGGUUCUCUGCCCCCCGGAGCUUUACUCAACAGGCCCCCAGGGUCGGCCCAGGAACAGCAAGCGGACCCUCUUACCAGAGCAUCAGGUAAAGCCUGUCCCUGUUUUGUCCUGCUGUGAGCUAACGAGUGUGCUGCUGUCAGCGUGGGGUCUGGAGCGUCAGACAGGGGGGUGACAUCACGGGGAACGGCAAGAAGCAACAAGCCCCAAAGGAGAUGACUAAGCAAGUAUGGCGGGCUGAGUAACGGCCCCCGAAAGGUGUCCACGUCUUCAUCCCCAGAACUUGUGAAUAUGUUACCUUACAUGGCAAAGGAACUUUCUAGAUGUAAUUAAGGAUCUUAAAAUGGUGAGAUUACACUAGAUUAUCCGGACGGGCCCAAUGUCAUCACAAGGACCCUGUGAAAGGGAGGCAAGUGUAAAGACAGGAGGAGGGGAAGGAUGAUGGAAGCAGAGGUUGGAGUGAUGCAGUUUGAGAUGGAAGAAGGGGCCAUGAGCCAAGGAACACAGGCAGCUUCUGGAAACUGGAAAACUCAAGGGAACAGAUUCUGCCCUGGAGCCUUCCCAAGGAAGGCAGGCCUGCGGACACCUUGAUUUUACCCCAUAAGGUUCGUUUUGGACUUCUGAUCUCCAGAGCUAUGAGACGAUAAAUUGGUGUCGUUUGACCCACUGUGCUUGUGUGACAACAGCAAUGGGAAACGAACCUAGCAGGCAGGCGGCUGGCUUGCCCCAGCUCCGGAGGUGUUGCAGGAGGACUCUUGACGACACAGCAAACACAGGAGCACCCACGGAGCAGAUUCCCUCGCCCUGAGUCCCGGGGAGAUGUGACGGGCCACAGUGACUCGUGCUGCAGUUAAGGAACCCAGGCUGGCGCUCAGCAGCUUUUGCAUCAAGCAAUAGCAGCCCCACCCUCAUGCGGGAGGGAGUGGAUGGACAGUAGUCCUGCUGCAUCACUGGACCUGCUUGGCUGUCUACGGGACCAGCUACAGCUGCAGCAGCAGCUCAGGCUCCGCUGGGCACGGACGUGCACAGACGCAGGGCCGGCUGGAUGGCCGCGGAGCUCACCUAGCCAACCCUCGGGCCCCCAGCCAGCUGCAGCGUCAGUGGGCGGCGGGGCCCAGGAGACGCACGUGUUCGGGCCAAGCCAGUGCCGUUUUGUCCUCCGGGCAGCUCCCUGCAGCUGCCGGGCUCCAUGAGUUCUUCCCGGAGGUCAAGAGCUGGGACUGCACAAGGGCUGGGAGAGUUCCCACAUGGUCUGCACAAAUGCCGCAGCGUCCAGGCAGAGCAGGGCCAGCGGCAGCUAGAGAUGCUCCCGACGGGCCAGGCUGGCCUCAAGGGCGCCUCUGUGCAGGCAGCUGGCUGGUUGACUCGAGGGCCAUGAGAGACCAGAGGCUGGGGGAACGACCAGCAGCCUCCAAGGAGGGCCCGAGGCUCUGCCUCCUCCUGCCGGGGCAGGUGUGUGGAGUGAGACAGUGGGAAGAACUGCCUCUCAGAUACUCCCCUGACUGCAGGGUUUGCGUUUCCGCCUCAGAGCAAGCUCCUGGGGCCUGGGCACGAGGAACUGAUGCCGACCCCGGGUCUGGGAGUUCAGAGGCCGGACAGUCAAGGAGUUAAGAGUGUGCAUGUCUGCCUGGACCCUGUUCUAUCUCACGAACUUAAGAAAAUCUCACUAAGAAAAAAGCAGACUGAAAAACAAUAUGUAUAGUAAGAUACCUUUUUUUGCUUAGAACUUUUAAAAAAUCUCUAUGUAUUUAGAAGAGCAUAGAAAAAAAAACCUACUGAAGAUUCCACCUUGCACUGAUUAUGACGGUCACCCCUGAGGACUGAGACUGACUUUAAGUGUGUGUUACUUUUUUUUUGGCUAAAACAUAAAGAUUUUUAAAAAUGUUCAAAGCACUCUAACUUCUAAUCCUACGGGAAAGAAUGUUCAUGUUUUAUCGAAAGAGAGACCAAAAUGUGCGGAGGGUCAUCUCUUCUGAAGGUCGUGAUAACUUCCUAACUUUUCAUCAAAUGGUCUCCAACCACCAGGCCAGUGGUAUGUAUUGAGAGCUACGCUUACUUCACGGGCUGUAAGUACAGCAGCAACUGGGACACGACUGCUAACGUGGUGGAAAGAAGUUAUGGCACAAGAAGGAUUUUUUUUAAGUCACCUAAAGUUCCUGUCAGAGUGGGAGCCUCAGCCUCUGGCGUUUCCUUCGUCAAGGUUGGCUGCUACGGCCUAUUCUUCACCUCAAUGCUUUCUUUCUAUUCCUUAUCGUGUGUAGAAUGCCCAUUUAACAUGAGGUGGUCAUGUGAUGUUUUUCCUGGAAAUUUAUUAUAAUUGCAAUGGUAGAUAUAUAAUCUAUACACACAAAGAAAAUAAACCUUCUAAUGAGGACUCAGGCUAACCACCUUAGGGAAUUGCUGUUUUUGAUUGUAUUUUAAGGCCAUUAAAAUAUCUGUUUAGUGAUUUAUUCACCCUGUAGACAGAUGUAGGGAUCAGUCUAUUUUUCACGUUACAGUGGAGUUUUCUUUUCAAAUAUUCUCCCUGGCCUUGUGGUGAAAUGUGCAUUAUGAUACUUCCUCAUCGUGACACAUGCAAAAGCGUUAUUCAUCAAAUGGUAUUUUCAAGCGUACUUCUCAUUAUUCUUUCAAGCACAUAAACAUAGCAAAGCCCUAGACUCUUGCCACAAUAUCAAAAGAAUUGAAGAUGUGGUGGAGCGCCUGACCUGCAUGGACCUGGAUUUUCGGGACAAGGUCACCGUAUUUCACAUGAACUUCUCUCCUGUUCUUUUCCCUUCUCCUCCCUCCCCCACGCCAAAUACAUAACUGUACUUGGUCUGAUGCUAAAUCAAGGUAAAUGAGACGUGACCUAUUAAAAAAGGAAAUGAAUUAUCGAAAGGGGAAAAUUGCAUUCCCGGCCGGGAGUGUGGACGUCAUGGCUUGAAUGUGUGUGUCUGUUCUGCCACUUCACUAGAUGGUCUUGCUUUUUGGGUGGCAUGUCUUCCAUCAUCCAAAUUGCCUCAUGAAGUCAGCAAAGUCAGUCAGACCAUGUUUUGGAGCUAUCUACUUUGUAUUUUUUUCCAAGGUUCUUUUUAAUGAAUGAAUGUAGUUAUAGCAGACCCGUCUUUAAGGGGUCUCUGGGAAUAGUCCUUAUUAAAUUCCCUACAACUUGAUCUAAGUCGGGAGUUAAAUGAUCUGUGUGAGCAGGCACACAGGUCAGGGUUUCACGGGCCAAACUCUUACUAGACUCCCGAAUAUCUUCCAAGUGCCAGUGGAGCCUGCCUGUCCUUCCAGCGGACUGUGGAGGAGGACGUAGGACUGUGAAGUUACUCCCAGGAAGUCACCCCAGGCAGUUCCUUCACAUCCUUGGGGCCAGCCUGAAUGGCACUGGACUCAUCCAAGGAGCCAGGUCUUUGCAAGUGGAGCAAAGAGCUGGAGGGCAGAGAUUCUCGGGCUGCAGGACCGGGAGAACGUUGUCCACGGUACUCUCCAUUAAAUGUCAGUGACCAGCUGGGCUUUGACCAGGCAACAAAGAGAAUCUGAUAGCCCAAGGAGGGGGCCAGUUCCUUAGGCUCUGUCCCUUGUCACUGUCUUGCCAUUUGUUGCAUUGUGGUCAUUCCAUAGCUUUUUCCUUUCUUUUUUUCUCUGUUUACUUGUAACAAAAGGGGAGGGGAG